CACCAGGUGAGGUUCCAGCAGGUAGCACAGGUACAGCACCAGGUGAGGCUGCAGCAGGUAGCACAGGUACAACACCAGGUGAGGCUGCAGCAGGUAGCACAGGUACAACACCAGGUGAGGCUGCAGCAGAUAGCACAGGUACAGCACCAGGUGAGGCUGCAGCAGGUAGCACAGGUACAGCACCAGGUGAGGCUGCAGCAGAUAGCACAGGUACAACACCAGGUGAGGCUGCAGCAGGUAGCACAGGUACAGCACC
Acanthochromis polyacanthus (spiny chromis) is the source of this 256-nucleotide long non-coding RNA. RefSeq lists it as uncharacterized. The record is from RefSeq and is a predicted model, not a curated record. NCBI's taxonomy places the organism in Eukaryota, Metazoa, Chordata, Actinopteri, Pomacentridae. The transcript is spliced from 5 exons.